UUAAGCGACUAAGCGUACACGGUGGAUGCCCUGGCAGUCAGAGGCGAUGAAGGACGUGCUAAUCUGCGAUAAGCGUCGGUAAGGUGAUAUGAACCGUUAUAACCGGCGAUUUCCGAAUGGGGAAACCCAGUGUGUUUCGACACACUAUCAUUAACUGAAUCCAUAGGUUAAUGAGGCGAACCGGGGGAACUGAAACAUCUAAGUACCCCGAGGAAAAGAAAUCAACCGAGAUUCCCCCAGUAGCGGCGAGCGAACGGGGAGCAGCCCAGAGCCUGAAUCAGUGUGUGUGUUAGUGGAAGCGUCUGGAAAGGCGUGCGAUACAGGGUGACAGCCCCGUACACAAAAAUGCACAUAUUGUGAGCUCGAUGAGUAGGGCGGGACACGUGGUAUCCUGUCUGAAUAUGGGGGGACCAUCCUCCAAGGCUAAAUACUCCUGACUGACCGAUAGUGAACCAGUACCGUGAGGGAAAGGCGAAAAGAACCCCGGCGAGGGGAGUGAAAAAGAACCUGAAACCGUGUACGUACAAGCAGUGGGAGCCUCUUUUAUGGGGUGACUGCGUACCUUUUGUAUAAUGGGUCAGCGACUUAUAUUCUGUAGCAAGGUUAACCGAAUAGGGGAGCCGAAGGGAAACCGAGUCUUAACUGGGCGUUAAGUUGCAGGGUAUAGACCCGAAACCCGGUGAUCUAGCCAUGGGCAGGUUGAAGGUUGGGUAACACUAACUGGAGGACCGAACCGACUAAUGUUGAAAAAUUAGCGGAUGACUUGUGGCUGGGGGUGAAAGGCCAAUCAAACCGGGAGAUAGCUGGUUCUCCCCGAAAGCUAUUUAGGUAGCGCCUCGUGAAUUCAUCUCCGGGGGUAGAGCACUGUUUCGGCAAGGGGGUCAUCCCGACUUACCAACCCGAUGCAAACUGCGAAUACCGGAGAAUGUUAUCACGGGAGACACACGGCGGGUGCUAACGUCCGUCGUGAAGAGGGAAACAACCCAGACCGCCAGCUAAGGUCCCAAAGUCAUGGUUAAGUGGGAAACGAUGUGGGAAGGCCCAGACAGCCAGGAUGUUGGCUUAGAAGCAGCCAUCAUUUAAAGAAAGCGUAAUAGCUCACUGGUCGAGUCGGCCUGCGCGGAAGAUGUAACGGGGCUAAACCAUGCACCGAAGCUGCGGCAGCGACGCUUAUGCGUUGUUGGGUAGGGGAGCGUUCUGUAAGCCUGUGAAGGUGUGCUGUGAGGCAUGCUGGAGGUAUCAGAAGUGCGAAUGCUGACAUAAGUAACGAUAAAGCGGGUGAAAAGCCCGCUCGCCGGAAGACCAAGGGUUCCUGUCCAACGUUAAUCGGGGCAGGGUGAGUCGACCCCUAAGGCGAGGCCGAAAGGCGUAGUCGAUGGGAAACAGGUUAAUAUUCCUGUACUUGGUGUUACUGCGAAGGGGGGACGGAGAAGGCUAUGUUGGCCGGGCGACGGUUGUCCCGGUUUAAGCGUGUAGGCUGGUUUUCCAGGCAAAUCCGGAAAAUCAAGGCUGAGGCGUGAUGACGAGGCACUACGGUGCUGAAGCAACAAAUGCCCUGCUUCCAGGAAAAGCCUCUAAGCAUCAGGUAACAUCAAAUCGUACCCCAAACCGACACAGGUGGUCAGGUAGAGAAUACCAAGGCGCUUGAGAGAACUCGGGUGAAGGAACUAGGCAAAAUGGUGCCGUAACUUCGGGAGAAGGCACGCUGAUAUGUAGGUGAAGUCCCUUGCGGAUGGAGCUGAAAUCAGUCGAAGAUACCAGCUGGCUGCAACUGUUUAUUAAAAACACAGCACUGUGCAAACACGAAAGUGGACGUAUACGGUGUGACGCCUGCCCGGUGCCGGAAGGUUAAUUGAUGGGGUCAGCGCAAGCGAAGCUCUUGAUCGAAGCCCCGGUAAACGGCGGCCGUAACUAUAACGGUCCUAAGGUAGCGAAAUUCCUUGUCGGGUAAGUUCCGACCUGCACGAAUGGCGUAAUGAUGGCCAGGCUGUCUCCACCCGAGACUCAGUGAAAUUGAACUCGCUGUGAAGAUGCAGUGUACCCGCGGCAAGACGGAAAGACCCCGUGAACCUUUACUAUAGCUUGACACUGAACAUUGAGCCUUGAUGUGUAGGAUAGGUGGGAGGCUUUGAAGUGUGGACGCCAGUCUGCAUGGAGCCGACCUUGAAAUACCACCCUUUAAUGUUUGAUGUUCUAACGUGGACCCGUGAUCCGGGUUGCGGACAGUGUCUGGUGGGUAGUUUGACUGGGGCGGUCUCCUCCUAAAGAGUAACGGAGGAGCACGAAGGUUGGCUAAUCCUGGUCGGACAUCAGGAGGUUAGUGCAAUGGCAUAAGCCAGCUUGACUGCGAGCGUGACGGCGCGAGCAGGUGCGAAAGCAGGUCAUAGUGAUCCGGUGGUUCUGAAUGGAAGGGCCAUCGCUCAACGGAUAAAAGGUACUCCGGGGAUAACAGGCUGAUACCGCCCAAGAGUUCAUAUCGACGGCGGUGUUUGGCACCUCGAUGUCGGCUCAUCACAUCCUGGGGCUGAAGUAGGUCCCAAGGGUAUGGCUGUUCGCCAUUUAAAGUGGUACGCGAGCUGGGUUUAGAACGUCGUGAGACAGUUCGGUCCCUAUCUGCCGUGGGCGCUGGAGAACUGAGGGGGGCUGCUCCUAGUACGAGAGGACCGGAGUGGACGCAUCACUGGUGUUCGGGUUGUCAUGCCAAUGGCACUGCCCGGUAGCUAAAUGCGGAAGAGAUAAGUGCUGAAAGCAUCUAAGCACGAAACUUGCCCCGAGAUGAGUUCUCCCUGACUCCUUGAGAGUCCUGAAGGAACGUUGAAGACGACGACGUUGAUAGGCCGGGUGUGUAAGCGCAGCGAUGCGUUGAGCUAACCGGUACUAAUGAACCGUGAGGCUUAACCUU
RNAcentral lists this ribosomal RNA (2902 nucleotides) under Escherichia coli. Its description in RNAcentral is "23S ribosomal RNA". It matches the Rfam family "Bacterial large subunit ribosomal RNA". Lineage: Bacteria; Pseudomonadati; Pseudomonadota; Gammaproteobacteria; Enterobacterales; Enterobacteriaceae. The record is from RNAcentral.